This 468-nucleotide ribosomal RNA is filed under the name uncultured bacterium. Its description in RNAcentral is "partial 16S ribosomal RNA". It matches the Rfam family "Bacterial small subunit ribosomal RNA", at positions 28 to 507 of the family's 1533-position model. The record is from RNAcentral.
GACGAACGCUGGCGGCGCGCCUAACACAUGCCAGUCGAACGGAGCUGAGAGAAGCUUGCUUUUCUUAGCUUAGUGGCGAACGGGUGAGUAACGCGUGAGUAACCUGCCCUGGAGUGGGGGACAACAGUUGGAAACGACUGCUAAUACCGCAUAAGCCCACGAUCCGGCAUCGGAUUGAGGGAAAAGGAUUUAUUCGCUUCAGGAUGGACUCGCGUCCAAUUAGCUAGUUGGUGAGGUAACGGCCCACCAAGGCGACGAUUGGUAGCCGGACUGAGAGGUUGAACGGCCACUGGGGGACUGAGCCACGGCCGGGACUCCUCCGGGAGGCGGGAGGGGGGGAUAUGGAAAAAGGGGGAAACCCCUGAUGCGCCGCCGCCGGGGGAAGAAAGAAGGUUUUCGUAUUGAAAAACCCUGUCGUAAGGGAGGAUAAUGACGGUACCUAAAAAGAAAGCCCCGGCUAACUACGUG